UCCAGAUUUAAAUAUUGACUGUCAUGUGUUAUGUUCUGAUUGGACGUGAAAAGAUGCAUCCAAGAGCCAGUUCUAACAUUUUUCUAUUCAUCGUCCAAUCAAAAUGUGACACGUGCCAAUCAAUAUUU
Molecule: non-coding RNA, 128 nt
Organism: Glycine max (soybean)
Lineage: Eukaryota; Viridiplantae; Streptophyta; Magnoliopsida; Fabales; Fabaceae
Source: Rfam